Callorhinus ursinus (northern fur seal) is the source of this 1268-nucleotide long non-coding RNA. RefSeq lists it as uncharacterized. Lineage: Eukaryota; Metazoa; Chordata; Mammalia; Carnivora; Otariidae. The record is from RefSeq and is a predicted model, not a curated record.
UCCAUCUAUUUUGUGCAUCCGUUAGCGACAUGUGCCUUAAGGUAUCAGAAAAGCCUAGGGGGCCUUAUUUUUUGGGUCUGGGCAUGCUCAAAAUUUGUUCCAUAUCAUGAUUAGUUUGGAGUUUAUUCUUGUGCAUGGAGUAAGCCCUUUGCCAUACAUCCCAGCCAAAGAGAAACCAGAAGCUCUGCUGUCAGAAGAGGAAGACAAAGUGAUGGUGACUGUCCCUGGACUAUAAAAAUUCCCAUAAAACUACUUUAAAGAUGACACAACCCCAUGCAUCCGGACUCACUGGGUCUCCAGGGUUUGGGUCUUCCAGCUGUUAGGCAAGAGGGCUGAGAAGUUGGAUACCUGUAUUCCCUCAGUUUUCCUGUCUUCCUAGUCAUCCUGACAUCACUGAGGUGGACACCAGGCGCUGCUAGAGCCCCCUACAGAAGGACUUGCUGCGGUCAGCUGCAGGGAGUACACAGCCCUCUGCCGUCCCCCCUUUCAGAGAUGGCCUCAGCUGCAGUAGAGCUGCCUUCCCAGGCUGGCUCACCGGGAGUGGGGUGGUGUGAGUGUUGCUCCGGAACUCUGGGGUUGACCGAGGCUGUGUAAGACCUCUCCCUCUCCCCACCCCUGCUCCCUCUCUCCCUUCCACAGAUGUUAGUCCCACCAGCACCACCUCAUAAGCAUUCUGCACCCUGAAGUCCAUCUCAGAGUCUGCUUCCUAGAGAACACACCCAGACAAUGAUUCAGUAAAAAAGAAGCUGUGAACUUGUAUGAGCCUGUUUGUGUCACAAAUGGAUAUAUACUUCCAAACGCAUGGAAUAUUUGCAGAAGCUUACAGAAGAGACUGUUAGCAACAGCUACCUCCAGGAACUAGGACUGGGUUCUUUUAGAGCAGAGAGGUGUUACUUUAUACUCUUUACCAUAAGCAUGAAUUACUUUUUCUUUUAUAAUAAAAAACCCCUCUAAUUUUAUAGAAACAUCAGAUUGCAUUAUACAUAGUUGUCAUAGCUACCAUUUGGGGAACACCUUCGUACAUGUACGUUAGCAUGCAUUCUCUAUUGCUCGAAACAAUGCAGAGAGGUUGGUGUCAUUAUCAUCCCAUUUUACAGAUAAGGGAGCUGAGCUUCAAAGGUGCCAAAUGAUUGGUCCAGAAGCAGCCAUCACCAAGCAGUGAAGCUGGAAUAGACUCAGACUCCAACUCCAACGUUCAGGCUAUUUCUGAACUCAGUCAGGGUGUGUGUCUUUCUGUCAGUUCAAAGGAUGCCUCUGUUCUGAAUGGA